Molecule: unclassified non-coding RNA, 1546 nt
Filed under: Hevea brasiliensis (rubber tree)
Lineage: Eukaryota; Viridiplantae; Streptophyta; Magnoliopsida; Malpighiales; Euphorbiaceae
Source: RNAcentral
AAUUUACCCAUUUAUCCCUUAACGGAUAUACCGGACCGAAUGAUGCACUGCGCUUCCCCUCUCUGCUCCCACUUUCCGGCGUUCUCCACCACCACCUCCGGCGCCGCCGCCAAGGCCAACCACAGAUGCUUAGUCUACCCUAGAAUGUCACUGAACCAAACUCCUCAACCACCGACCCCUAAAAACCUCCUUACCACCAUCACUAACCUACUGUGGGGUCCCUCCCUCCCACCGGGACUCCUCAUCUCCACCGUCCGUACAGCAUGGAACUCGGCGUGGCAACUCAUGAUGUCGCAGCUAGCCCCCUCCGAUUCCUCUGGCGGUUACUCUAGGCCCGCCUCCAAAUUCCGGCUCAGCAAUUCUCAAUAUUCCCGCCGAAAUCCAACGACCUUACACCUCUACGUGGGCCUUCCCUGCCCCUGGGCCCAUCGGACCCUCAUAGUCAGAGCUCUCAAAGGCCUAGAAGAUGCAAUUCCGGUGUCGAUCGCAGCACCGGGCCAAGACGGUUCCUGGGAAUUUCAGAGCACACCAAACACGGACAAGGAUGUCCUUGUACCGGGUAAGGACAAAGCAAACGGACGCAAGACUUUGAAGGAGGUUUACGGGAUAACAAGAGGAGGUUACAGCGGGCGAGCUACGGUGCCGAUGCUCUGGGAUGCAGAGAGGAAAGAGGUGGUGUGCAACGAAAGCUAUGACAUUAUUGAAUUCUUGAAUUCGGGCUUAAAUGGGUUAGCCCAGAAUCUCGAUUUGGAUCUGUCGCCGAACUCAUUGAAGGAAAAGAUUGAGGAAUGGAAUCAAGUGAUCUAUCCCAACGUAAACAAUGGAGUUUACAGAUGUGGGUUUGCUCAGAGUCAAGAAGCAUAUGAUAGAGCAGUGGAUGAUUUGUUCAGUACAUUGGAUAAGAUAGAUAAUCACUUGGGUACUUCACGAUUCUUGUGUGGAGACACACUAACACUAGCAGAUGUUUGCUUGUUUACCACUUUGAUUCGGUUUGAUCCUGUAUAUCAUGUUCUGUUCAAGUGCACUAAGAAGAAGGUGCUCGAGUAUCCAAAUCUUCAUGGGUAUAUGCGAGAUAUAUAUCAGAUACCAAAGGUUGCAGAAACUUGCAAUUUUUCUGCCAUUAUGGAUGGUUACUACAAAGUACUUUUCCCACUGAAUCCAGGCAGCAUUCGUCCAUCCAUGCCUUCAGGGUAUGAAGAUGAAAACCUUUAUGCAGCUCACAGCAGGGAAUCAUUUUCAUCUGUGAAUAAAGAUAUAGAGGUUUAUGUUUCAUAAAUCAUAGUUCUCUUUAUAAUUGUGUAUCACCUCUCAAUGUGUGCUGGGUGUUAAUAUUUUUCCCACAUUUUGAAUUUUAGCAAAAGAAAAAAAAAAUGAAUCUUAUUUUAAUUGAUGGACCAAUCUGCUAUCUUUCCAUUUAUUUUCUUUUUCUUCUUAUCUGCUGAAAUCUUCACAGGGUGCAGGGGUAGGAUUAUGUACUGAUGUAAGUAUUUUUUUAAGCCAACAAAUGAAUCUAUGAUUGAAUUGAAUCAUAACAUGAACCAUGAAG